This 2561-nucleotide long non-coding RNA is filed under the name Lathyrus oleraceus (garden pea). Its description in RNAcentral is "Pisum sativum (pea) long non-coding RNA (PSAT_LNC029585)". The record is from RNAcentral. Lineage: Eukaryota; Viridiplantae; Streptophyta; Magnoliopsida; Fabales; Fabaceae.
AUUAAAGAUAAGGGUUUUCAGAUUCAUUUUUCAUUACAAAAGUCAUUCAAGGUUCAAAUAUCCAAUUACAUCACAAAAGUGUAAAAUCCAAAAACCUAAAAAAAAUACAAUUUUUGACCUACAGUUGACUUUGGUCAACGAUCGAGUUUUUGGUCAAGUAGUUGAUUAAAGUCAACUACCUAGUUCCAAUCCCUAAACCCUAUGCCUUUCUUCAUCUUCACUUUGAUCUCCAAGUCACUAAGAAUUCCUCAUGUUCAAGUCUUUGCCCAUGCCUUCAUGAUCUAAAUGCCAAGUCAUCUUGUCACAUACACCAUUCCUGCAAAUCACGCAAAUGCACUUUUAGAGUUACUCAAACAUAGCUCAAGCACUACAAAGUCAUUUUUAUAACACAUUUAAACCAUCAAUGAACAACCUACAUUAAUUAGUUAACUCCUCAUGAUAAUUCACAUAACUUCUACUCAUGAUUUUCACCUCACCAUGCAGUUAACCCAACUAAAAGUUGCUAAAAGAGAAAGAUAAUUUCAGCAACCAACUAACACACUUGCACAAUAACAUUAAACAUCCAAUACAUUUACAACUUCAUAGAAAGGCAUACCAUUAGUCCAAAUAAUAACAAAACCACUUCAUGAUACCCAAUUACUCCUCUGAACAUAGUCUAACAGUGAUCAAAUAGUCCAGUCAUACAUAAUCUCCUAGUAUAAUCACAUAACAAUCAAUAAUUCAAAUUCAUCACAGAAUUGCAUAAACCUUUCAAAAAGUUAGAACUAGUUACCAUUCAUAUCCCAAUUCUAAUCAUUAAACUCAGUCACGACGAGUUCUAUUGGCAACAACAUGUAUUCAUACUCCAAUUCAAUUCAAUAACUGAAAUUAUUCAACUUAGAUAGCAAGGUUUUAACAUACUAAUUCAUUCAUUCAACACCAGUCUCAUAGUUCAUAGUUCAUCACACAACCAGUUUCAAUGAUAAUCCUUCACUUCAAUACAUCUAACUGCAAAACUAAUUGUUUCAUUUUAAAGCAGCCAUAGAUGUGCAAUAGUAAGCAAUUUAUUUACAAGUAGUUCACAAAACUAACAUACUAACUUCAAUUUAAAAUUGAUGUCAUGAAUAAUUUCCAAUUUAACAAAUUUAACAGUUGAAUUAACAAUCCUUAUUUCCUACUAAUCAACAAUCUAACUAAAUAUCAAUUCAAAAUAACUCAUCCAAAAGCUAACACAUUAAGCAAUUUAACUGAUCAAUAAAAAACUAUCACUAACAUCAUUAUCAUCUUUCUCAACAAUUCAAUGAUUACUAACUCUAUCCUAAAAUAACUACACCAACCAACUCAUAACAGAAAUCAAUUGAAUCAAACUAACUAACAAACUAACAUUAACCGAGUCUAACAAAAUUUCUAACACCGUUAUUAACUUCUAACUAAUUUUCACAUAGGAGAUCCAAUUCAGUUAACUUUGUUACACUCUCAUCCUUAUAAAUCUAUGCCUUCACCAUUCAUUCGAGAAAAACCACAAUCUCAGAAAUUAAAAGCUAUAUUUCAAUCGUCAAUUCUCUCUCUCUCUCUCUCUCUCUCUCUCUCUCUCUGCAAUUCCCUUCACUUUCACCCUCACAUAGAGCUCAAUAAUUCUCUCUCUCUCUCUCUCUCUCUCUCUCUCUCUCUCUCUCUCUGCAAUUCCCUUCACUUUCACCCUCACAUAGAGCUCAAUUUUUUGCAGCCAUUGAAGCUUCUCCUUGAAGCUUCAAACAUGCUGAAGCUAGACCUCUCACAUUCUCACACUUUCAUACUCUCUUCUCAUGCACGCGCAUACAACAUGUCAUAGAAAAGCAAGAAAUUUGAGCCUACAAACUAUAAUUGAAGAAGAAGAAUAAGGUGUAGUAGAAAGGAUAAUUGAGAUUCAAGGUUACCUGUUCGAUUCUCUGGUAUUUUCUGUGUGAAUUUCAUCUUCAGUGGCAACAAAAUCUAAGAUGAAUCUAUGUCUUGCAGGUUGGUGAUUUGCCUCCUUUUUGCCUCUAUUUACGCUGAACUUCAUACCAUAAUGUAGUCUUUAAUAUAAGGAAUCAAAUCCCCAAUGCUAUAGGCUUUGAUUCCAUGGCUUCAAUGUUUAAUUUGUGAAAUUGUUACUCAGGGUUCUUGUGAGUUUAGUGUCAGUUUGAGAGAUUUAGGAAGAAUCAAAGGAAAAGUAUUAGCGAUUAUGGAAGAGAAGGAGAUAACGAAUAAUUUAAUGUGAGGUUUGCAAGAAUUGGCCCUCCGCCUCCGCUAGAGGCGAUUUCCAGCAUGGCGGAGGAAGAAAUGGAAAUCACCCUGGGAGAGGAAGGUUUGAACGAGUGUGGAACAAAAUGGAGACUUCUGCAAGAAUUGGCCCUCCGCCUCCGCUAGAGGCAAUUUCCAGCAUGGCGGAGGAAGAAAUGGAAAUCACCCUGGGAGAGGAAGGUUUGAACGAGUGUGGAACAAAAUGGACACUUCUGUUGUCUCCUUCCUUUGACGCAACCUUUUUAGGGCUUCUGUAUCAGAAAUAUACCCGAACAUAUCGCACGCUCAAACAUACAACAGAGUUGUCAUCGAACCCCUAU